GAAAACUUCAAAAUUAAUGCAAGUCUCAGUUGCUUUCGAAAAAACCUUGUUAUUAACAUACAAUUUUCAGCUGCGAUAUUAGUCAGGAUGGUGGUAUAUACAUAUAACAGGAUUAUUCUCGUAAUUAGUACAUUUUUCAAGACUAAUUUUUGUGUUCUUUAAAAUGCUUCUUUACAUUAAUUGUUAAGCGAUUACCUUAUCUAUUUGUCUCCUUGGCUUUUUAUGUAAAAAUGUUUCAGAGUUCCCAGUUUGUCCUCUUGAGAUUCAUCGAUAAAUAAUUGAGAUAGCAUAUGUAGAGAUGUAAUUUAAUUGCCUAGUCCACUUUAGUGAUCGCCGUGAUCGCUAUUAAAUAUUUUCUAAUACGGUGAUCAUUUUUCUUUAUUAUUAUUAUUAUUUUACCUACCUAAGCUGGUAGCCUUGAAAGGCUAUUCCAACGGAAAGGGGCUCAAACCUGACGACGUUGCUAACACGAACCCUAGCAAGAGCCGUGCUUCGCAGAAUCUACCACCGGAUCGGAAGCGCGACCUACUAAGAAGAUCCGGCGAGAAACUCAGUGGGCUGUGUCUGAGGGUUAAUUUACACAUCGAGCCCUUCGUCGCAAGCGACGGGUUCGACGAGAACGGUGACCGGUAAAGUAGUGCAAAUAGGUGAACGACCUCAAAUUCCACCUCGCGUUUAGUUACCCGACAUUAUUUUACGUUAAUUUAUGACACUAGUUGAAAUGAAUUCCGAAAAUAUAAUAAAAUAUGUAACGUUA
This is a long non-coding RNA of Bombyx mori (domestic silkworm), 757 nucleotides long. RefSeq lists it as uncharacterized. The transcript is spliced from 2 exons. The record is from RefSeq and is a predicted model, not a curated record. Lineage: Eukaryota; Metazoa; Arthropoda; Insecta; Lepidoptera; Bombycidae.